This 484-nucleotide ribosomal RNA is filed under the name uncultured bacterium. Its description in RNAcentral is "partial 16S ribosomal RNA". It matches the Rfam family "Bacterial small subunit ribosomal RNA", at positions 30 to 507 of the family's 1533-position model. The record is from RNAcentral.
AUUGAACGCUGGCGGCAGGCCUAACACAUGCAAGUCGAGCGGAUGAAGGGAGCUUGCUCCUGGAUUCAGCGGCGGACGGGUGAGUAAUGCCUAGGAAUCUGCCUGGUAGUGGGGGAUAACGUCCGGAAACGGGCGCUAAUACCGCAUACGUCCUGAGGGAGAAAGUGGGGGAUCUUCGGACCUCACGCUAUCAGAUGAGCCUAGGUCGGAUUAGCUAGUUGGUGGGGUAAAGGCCCACCAAGGCGACGAUCCGUAACUGGUCUGAGAGGAUGAUCAGUCACACUGGAACUGAGACACGGUCCAGACUCCUACGGGAGGCAGCAGUGGGGAAUAUUGGACAAUGGGCGAAAGCCUGAUCCAGCCAUGCCGCGUGUGUGAAGAAGGUCUUCGGAUUGUAAAGCACUUUAAGUUGGGAGGAAGGGCAGUAAGUUAAUACCUUGCUGUUUUGACGGUACCAACAGAAUAAGCACCGGCUAACUUCGUG